This 243-nucleotide ribosomal RNA is filed under the name uncultured bacterium. RNAcentral's name for it is "partial 16S ribosomal RNA". It matches the Rfam family "Bacterial small subunit ribosomal RNA", at positions 91 to 334 of the family's 1533-position model. The record is from RNAcentral.
UUAAGUGGCGGACGGGUGAGUAACGCGUGGGUAACCUGCCUCAUACAGGGGGAUAACAGUUAGAAAUGACUGCUAAUACCGCAUAAGACCACAGCACCGCAUGGUGCGGGGGUAAAAACUCCGGUGGUAUGAGAUGGACCCGCGUCUGAUUAGCUAGUUGGUAAGGUAACGGCUUACCAAGGCGACGAUCAGUAGCCGACCUGAGAGGGUGACCGGCCACAUUGGGACUGAGACACGGCCCAA